Non-coding RNA from Cinara cedri, 1047 nucleotides. The record is from the annotation of a GenBank genome assembly. NCBI's taxonomy places the organism in Eukaryota, Metazoa, Arthropoda, Insecta, Hemiptera, Aphididae.
UCCGCAGUUAAAUAUAAAUUAUUUUUGUAUCAUUAUUGUAAUAAAUAUCGUAAUUCAAAAAAUGUUUACUGGGGUUCGAUUACAUAUUAAUAUUAUAUUAUGCCUACAUAUUAUAUUAUUUUAUUCCGUUUUAGUGGUUUAUUAUUAUUAUUUUUUAUAUAUGUAUAGAAGUGAAUAGAAAAAAAAAAAUGACAAAAUUAUUUAUUACAUAUUAUAUUACUUAUGUAUAUAAGUUAUAAAUAAUUAUUAUAAAUUAAUUACCCGACUUUUCCAGCUAUAAUAAUACACUCUAUCGUAUUAUACUUAAAUAUAGUAGAAUUUUAAGAAAAUAAUUAUACAAAAUUGAGUGAUAAUAAUAUUUUAUUAUGUACUUAAUAAGUAAUAGUACUUAAAAAAUAUUGACUAAUUUGGAUUUUUUUUUUUAAAUUUUAAAUUUUUCAUUUAAUAAAUUCAAAGCAAAUUGAGAAAUAAAAUAUAUAACCUAACGAAACGUAUCCAUUGAGUACGACGACAGUUUUAAUGUGUAUUUGUGUUUACGUAUUUUCAUCACUAGUUGGUCGGUGGCGUUAUCAGUUGGUUAGUGGCAUAUCGAGAAUUCGAAAAUAGACGGGAUUAGAAAUAAUUGGUAUACUUAAUUGAAAAUAUAUAUUAAUAUACAUAAACAUUUUUUUAAUAAAAUACAUUACACGUCAUUUAAUGGACUUAUACGCAAAUUUGGUCGAUGGUGUUUUCUUUUAAUUGGUUUGGACUACGUCAAAAUUUCGCAGUAUUUUCAUUACCUAUACUUUACUGAAAAAAUAAAAAAUACAUUUUAUACAAAAAAAUGUUUAGAAUUUCGAAUGUUUUAAAUAAAGUAUCGUUAAGCGGAAAAAAAAUCAGUGCAUAUUUCUUUAGUCCCAGAGAAGAACGCCUAAGGUACAUUUUUGAAAUUUUUUUUUAUAAUUUUGUCUUUGGAAAUUCAUUCUCUAUAUUUGUUCGUCUGAACUACAUAAGUGUAUGUAUUUUCAAAAUUAAUGUCUGUAGUGUAUUAAUAUAUUAGUGUACUUG